UUUUGGGACCUCAAGUCCUUACAUAAUUGUCCAUAUUUUGAGGAACUUCUGGCAUCUCAUUUAAUUUGCUCAUCCAUGAGUUUAAGGAACUACAGGUUCCCUUUUUGUAUAUAGUGACGGUUUACCCAAAAUGGUUAAUAUUUAUGCAUACGUCACUAUUCAUGUGAAUAGUACUAUUCAUCAAUCAUGAAUACAUAUCUAUUCAUAUGUGCAGUACAUUUGCCAGUACAGUUAUUAUUCAUGUGUACGGCACUUUUAACCAAUACGGUACUGUUACAUCAUUAAGGAAACUCAGGUCCUUAUUCACAUGUCAGGGAUCAAGGACCCUUAAGUCCGAUCACAUGUUUACAAAUAUAGUACCGGAGAGACUGCCAGCUCUCAUAUCAAUAUCAUCAUCAAGGAUCUUCAAGUCCUGAUGUAAAUGUAUGAUGAGGAUCAAGGAACUUCUGGUCCUGAUCUGUAUACUGUAAAAACUCAUCAUACAGCACAAUUAAUCCAUAAAAUAAAUUUACUGUUAAAUAAAUUACUUGUAUGGACGUUAAUCCCGCACCAUACUUUAAAUGUGCGGUAAAGUAAACGUGCUUGUAUGGGCACUAAUUCUGCUCCAUACAUUUAAAUGACAGUAAAGGCGUGGACGAUAAACCCGCACCACCCUUUAAAGUAAAUUUACGAUAAAGUAAAUGUCAGUAAAUGUCAGUAGUAAAUUUACGAUAAAGUAAAUGUCAAUGUCAGUAGUAAAUUUACGAUAAAGUAAAUGUCAAUGUCAGUAAAUGUCAGUAGUAAAUUUACGAUAAAGUAAAUGUCAGUAAAUGUCAGUAAAGGCGUGGACGAUAAACCUGCACCACCCUUUAAAAGUAAAUUUACGAUAAAGUAAAUGUGUUGUAAUAAGUCAUGAUAAGUGGGGACAAAGAUUAGGUAGGUUUUAGCCCCAUGCAUACCUCACAAAACUUUUCUGGUGCCGACAAUUCUCACCAAUAAUCCUAGUGAGAAAGCUUGGUAGGAUUCACUUUUAAAAAGUGUGAGGCUUUUGUCCCUCUGCAUGUGCUUUUGUCCAAAGCAAUUUUGUUUGGUUCCUCUCCUUUUUGAGACAUGAGAGCCACUUUGGACGUACAAUGCUUAAAACUUGCAACUUUACAGCUUGAUCACACUUCCAAGUUAAGCAAGCAACCAAGCAUUGUGUUGAGAUUGAAAGAAAGCGACGGCCAUCAUCUCUUUCUGAAGAUGUUAUAUCAGUGCUUCCAGCUGCUCAUUUGAUUCGGUGCUCCUGCUGCUGCUUAAGUGAUUUCCACAGCAAGGAGACAACGCCAGGCUGGCUAUGAUGCCUGCCGCCAUAAUUUCUCUUACUUUAAGCUGAUGCUCAAGUCCAAAUCCAACACAGGAAAGGUGAGGGAUCUGAUCAGGGACAGCACUGAAGCACCAAAUUGUGGCCAUGUCACACAGAACGUUGCAUUGAUGUUGUUGAUUUCACACGCAGCCAAGAGAGCCUCGCCCAACAACGACGCUGGCCUACGGAAAGUAUUCCAAGCUCAAAGAUGGGGCUUUUCUUUCCAAGGUCGUUUCUAGCUUGAACGCCACCGCCUCAUCCCUCGAAAGUCUUGGAGAGAGGUUGAUUUCUGAACUUGGAACAGAAUAGCCUCUGUCCCUUAUCAUCUCCUUGAAACUGUAGCUGCUUUUGAAACCGUCGACCUUGAGAUGCAUUGUGGGAGUCAUCCCCGGCUCGGAGUUGUGGAUCAUAUAUGCUUUUCACCCCCUGCUUGGUGCUUCUUUAGACCAAGUGGCUGGGGUUGCAAACUCUUUUGGGGCAGAUGAAGAAGACGAAGAAGUUGGGGCCGAGAGAAAGAUGAAACUGAGUAUGCUGGUCCAGAGGUGGAAGCCUGACCAAUAAGAAAGGUUAUGACUGCAUGGACAUACUUUGUUUACCCUUUGAACUUUCGGAAAACAAAAGGCAUAGACAAAGCUCUGCCAGAGGAACUGGUCUUUCGGUUCAUAUCAACACCGAAAGUUCAAAGGGUGAGAAAGAAGAGUUCUUUGUGAAAGAAACAGAGGAAGAAGCAGGGGAACUGAGGCUGGAGAGAGAUAAGAUAUCUGGGUUUCAGAGAAUUCAGCUUGUAUAUUUGAGAGCGAAUUCGUGCUGAUAACGUGUUAUAAAAUUAGAGAGAAAUUGGAAAGAAUUGAGAUGGAGAGAAGCUGAAUGUUUUUCUCUGUAUUACAAUCAAUGGGAUGUGUUCUAUUUGUAGGCAGAGCCUUCCAACAUGUGGG
This 2259-nucleotide long non-coding RNA is filed under the name Prunus dulcis (almond). Its description in RNAcentral is "sRNA ncRNA". Lineage: Eukaryota; Viridiplantae; Streptophyta; Magnoliopsida; Rosales; Rosaceae. The record is from RNAcentral.